UAAAUAUAGUAAACUCUUUAUUUUAUUCCAGUCUGCUGUUGGCUGUGCCCCUGAUCUGCCUGCUUGGCUGACAAAAUCAGAAGUAGGAAAGCAUUUGAUUGACUGAGACUGUCAAGGAGGCAGAUCAGUUGCAGAGCCAGAAUAAGUCAAACACAGCCCUGGCCAAUCAGCACCUCCUCAUAGAGAUGCAUUGAAUUAAUGCAUCUCUAUGUGGAAAGUUCUAUGUGGAAAGUUCAGUGUCUAUAUGCAGCUGUAGUUGUUCUGGAGACUAUAGUGUCCCUUUAAAAACUAAACAAGCAAAAUGAUGCUUGAUCUCUAAGGGGUUAAGAAUCCUCAGUCAGCGGUUUGCUUAAACAGGAACAGACUUAUUAACCCCUUAACAAUGUCAUUUGUCCACAUUCUGUAUGAAAACAUAACAUCAUGAAUCAAAUCAAAGAAUAUAAACUAUAGGUUUGUUCCACAGUCAUUUUAGGGUGUCUCUUCAAGUGCCUUCAUACAUAUUAUAUAAAAAAUUUUAAAGGACAGAAAGGGCUUUCAUUUAAUAUGCUAUAUGUAUACCUAACACAACAUUAAAUGUGAAUAAAAUGUUAAAAUGGCAAUAAAGUGGGGAGGGGGAGGGGUAGGAAAGUUUUUAUUUUCACAUUUUUUCUU
This is a non-coding RNA of Pelobates cultripes (western spadefoot toad), 651 nucleotides long. NCBI's taxonomy places the organism in Eukaryota, Metazoa, Chordata, Amphibia, Anura, Pelobatidae. The record is from the annotation of a GenBank genome assembly.